AUGGAAACUCUGUCUUGUUCUCCUCCUCCUCUAGAUCUAACCCUGUCUCCUCCUCCUCAUCUUUUCCUGUCUGCUCCUCCACCUGCACCUCUUUAUCUAACCCUAUCUCCUCCUCCUCCUCUAGAUCUAACCCUAUCUCCUCCUCCUCCUCCUCUAGAUCUAACCCUUUCUCCUCCUCCUCCUCCUCCUCCACUUUAUCUAUCCCUGUCUCCUCUUCCUCCUCUAGAUCUAACCCCGUCUCCUCCUCCUCCUUCUCUUGAUCUAACCCUAUCUCCUGCUCUAGAUCUAACCCUAUCUCCUCCUCUAGAUCUAACCCUGUCUCCUCCUCCUCUAGAUCAAACCCUAUCUCCUGCUCUAGAUCUAACCCUGUCUCCUCCUCCUCCUCUAGAUUUAACCCUAUCUCCUCUAGAUCUAACCCUGUCUCCUCCUCCUCCUCUAGAUUUAACCCUAUCUCCUGCUCUAGAUCUAACCCUGUCUCCUCCUCCUCCUCUAGAUUUAACCCUAUCUCCUCUAGAUCUAACCCUGUCUCCUCCUCCUCCUCUAGAUUUAACCCUAUCUCCUGCUCUAGAUCUAACCCUGUCUCCUCCUCUAGAUCUAACCCUGUCUCCUUCUCCACCUCCGCUAGAUUUAACCCUAUAUCCUGCUCUAGAUCUAACCCUGUCUCCUCCUCUUGAUCUAACCCUAUCUCCUGCUCUAGAUCUAACCCUAUCUCCUUCUCUAGAUCUAACCCUAUCUUCUGCUCUAGAUCUAACCCUGUCUCCUCCUCCUCCUCCUCUAGAUCAAACCCUAUCUCCUGCUCUAGAUCUAACCCUGUCUCCUCCUUCUCCUGCUCUAGAUCUAACCCUGUCUCCUCCUUCUCCUGCUCUAGAUCUAACCCUGUCUCCUGCUCUAGAUCUAACCCUGUCUCCUCCUCUAGAUCUAACCCUGUCUCCUCCUCCUCCUCCUCUAGAUUUAACCCUAUCUCCUGCUCUAGAUCUAACCCUGUCUCCCCCUGCUCCUCCUCUAGAUCUAACCCUAUCUCCUGCUCUAGAUCUAACCCUGUCUCCCCCUGCUCCUCCUCUUUAUCUAACCCUGUCCGCUCCUCCUCUAGAUCUAACCCUAUCUCCUGCUCUAGAUCUAACCCUGUCUCAUCCUCCUCCUCCUCUAGAUUUAACCCUAUCUCCUGCUCUAGAUCUAACCCUGCUCCCCCCCCCUCUUCUUUAUCUAACCCUGUCCCCUCCUCCUCUAGAUCUAACUUUGUGA
This 1242-nucleotide long non-coding RNA is filed under the name Betta splendens (Siamese fighting fish). Its description in RNAcentral is "lncRNA (ENSBSLG00000001584.1)". Lineage: Eukaryota; Metazoa; Chordata; Actinopteri; Anabantiformes; Osphronemidae. The record is from RNAcentral.